This 353-nucleotide long non-coding RNA is filed under the name Hordeum vulgare. RNAcentral's name for it is "long non-coding RNA (HVUL_LNC009636)". The record is from RNAcentral. Lineage: Eukaryota; Viridiplantae; Streptophyta; Magnoliopsida; Poales; Poaceae.
UGAUAUAUCAAGGAAUCCAUCUUCUCACGUGGGAAACAACUUGCACCUCCAACUAGCAACACUAUAAGAAGGGCCGAGCAAGCGGUAACAUAGCCAAACAAAGGUUUGGUGGGAUGUGGAUGGGAUAGAAGCUUUUCAUGGCAAUGUUGGGAGGCUUAACAUAACAGGAGGUAGGCAGCUAGACAUAGCGAUAGAAAUGAUAGAACUAGCAUAGAGAGGAUAGUAACGGUAUCUAGGGAAAUGAUCAUCUUGCAUGAGAUCCCGCUUGGCAGAAGAACGAGUCCGUGAAGUAGAUGAACCAACGAAGUUGAAUGAAUCCUCACACUCCGAAGAAGUUUGGAACUCUAUCGAUA